UCACAUGCACCGGAUCCCCUCAGAACCCCGAAGUUAAGCGAGUUUGGGCGAGAGUAGUACUAGGAUGGGUGACCUCCUGGGAAGUCCUCGUGUUGCAUCCCCUCUUUUUGUCUUUUUGACGUUUCAAUUGUCGUGGGCGUUUGCUUUCCGUCGUCUUAUUCAUCUGGCUGUCUUUGUUUUUCCACGACCCCGUGACGCAGCGUGGCAAUCGGGGAUAAAGUACGCUUAAAUACUCCCAGAAAGCCCACAACGGAAUCAAAAUACGAAAGUGACAAAGUUUCCCGAAACUGAAUUUCGCCCCAGCAAACGGUGUCGGAUGCCCGAAAAAGCCCGUCAGUCAUGGCAGCGCAAUGAGUUUUACUAGUGACGCCGUUCUCUUCAAAUCGACUGCUCGUGGGCCUGAUUCUGAGGUCGGAGCCCAGAUAUGCGGUUCACCCGAUACGCGCGUCGCUCCAGCUGCUCUUCAACUGCUUCCGACGUCACCCCGAGGAGCCCGUCUCCAAUCAACUGGGUGCCGGAAAGGAGCGGGACCGACGCACUGCCGGAAUUAUCGGGGGUUUUUUCGCGUUCAAUUGUCGUUAGGUAGGCCAUUUGGCGUGGCUUAUAUACUUUUAGGCGUUGUAAGCUAACGGAUGCGAUCAUACCAACUCACAUGCACCGGAUCCCAUCAGAACUCCGAAGUUAAGCGAGUUUGGGCGAGAGUAGUACUAGGAUGGGUGACCUCCUGGGAAGUCCUCGUGUUGCGUCCCCUCUUUUUGUCUUUUUGACGUUUCAAUUGUCGUGGGCGUUUGCUUUCCGUCGUCUUAUUUCAUCUGGCUGUCUUUGUUUUUCCACGACCCCGUGACGCAGCGUGGCAAUCGGGGGAUAAAGUACGCUUAAAUACUUCCGAGAAAGCCCACAACGGAUGCAAAAUACGAGAGUGACAAAGUUUCCCGAACUGAAUUUCGCCCCAGCAAACGGUGCCGGAUGCCCGAAAAAGCCCGUCAGUCAUAGCAGCGCAAUGAGUUUUACUCGUGACGCCGUUCUCUUCGAAUCGACUGCUCGUGGGCCUGAUUCUGAGGUCGGAGCCCAGAUAUGCGGUUUACCCGAUACGCGCGUCGCUCCAGCUGCUCUUCAACUGCUUCCGACGUCACCCCGAGGAGCCCGUCUCCAAUCAACUGGGUGCCGGAAAGGAGCGGGACCGACGCACUGCCGGAAUUAUCGGGGGGUUUUUUCGCGUUCAAUUGUCGUUAGGUAGGCCAUUUGGCGUGGGUUAUAUACUUUUAGGCGUUGUAAGCUAACGGAUGCGAUCAUACCAACUCACAUGCACCGGAUCCCAUCAGAACUCCGAAGUUAAGCGAGUUUGGGCGAGAGUAGUACUAGGAUGGGUGACCUCCUGGGAAGUCCUCGUGUUGCAUCCCCUCUUUUUGUCUUUUUGACGUUUCAAUUGUCGUGGGCGUUUGCUUUCCGUCGUCUCAUUCAUCUGGCUGUCUUUGUUUUUCCACGACCCCGUGACGCAGCGUGGCAGUCGGGGAUAAAGUACGCUUAAAUACUCCCAGAAAGCCCACAACGGAAUCAAAAUACGAAAGUGACAAAGUUUCCCGGAACUGAAUUUCGCCCCAGCAAACGGUGUCGGAUGCCCGAAAAAGCCCGUCAGUCAUGGCAGCGCGAUGAGUUUUACUCGUGACGCCGUUCUCUUCGAAUCGACUGCUCGUGGGCCUGAUUCUGAGGUCGGAGCCCAGAUAUGCGGUUUACCCGAUACGCGCGUCGCUCCAGCUGCUCUUCAACUGCUUCCGACGUCACCCCGAGGAGCCCGUCUCCAAUCAACUGGGUGCCGGAAAGGAGCGGGACCGACGCACUGCCGGAAUUAUCGGGGGGUUUUUUCGCGUUCAAUUGUCGUUAGGUAGGCCAUUUGGCGUGGCUUAUAUACUUUUAGGCGUUGUAAGCUAACGGAUGCGAUCAUACCAACUCACAUGCACCGGAUCCCAUCAGAACUCCGAAGUUAAGCGAGUUUGGGCGAGAGUAGUACUAGGAUGGGUGACCUCCUGGGAAGUCCUCGUGUUGCAUCCCCUCUUUUUGUCUUUUUGACGUUUCAAUUGUCGUGGGCGUUUGCUUUCCGUCGUCUUAUUCAUCUGGCUGUCUUUGUUUUUCCACGACCCCGUGACGCAGCGUGGCAAUCGGGGAUAAAGUACGCUUAAAUACUCCCAGAAAGCCCACAACGGAAUCAAAAUACGAAAGUGACAAAGUUUCCCGAAACUGAAUUUCGCCCCAGCAAACGGUGUCGGAUGCCCGAAAAAGCCCGUCAGUCAUGGCAGCGCGAUGAGUUUUACUCGUGACGCCGUUCUCUUCGAAUCGACUGCUCGUGGGCCUGAUUCUGAGGUCGGAGCCCAGAUAUGCGGUUUACCCGAUACGCGCGUCGCUCCAGCUGCUCUUCAACUGCUUCCGACGUCACCCC
This 2434-nucleotide long non-coding RNA is filed under the name Prunus persica (peach). Lineage: Eukaryota; Viridiplantae; Streptophyta; Magnoliopsida; Rosales; Rosaceae. The record is from RNAcentral.